UCUCCGUUGGUGAACCAGCGGAGGGAUCAUUACCGAGUUUACAACCCCCAAACCCAAUGUGAACCAUACCAAACUGUUGCCUCGGCGGGGUCACGCCCCGGGUGCGUCGCAGCCCCGGAACCAGGCGCCCGCCGGAGGGACCAACCAAACUCUUUCUGUAGUCCCCUCGCGGACGUUAUUUUUACAGCUCUGAGCAAAAAUUCAAAAUGAAUCAAAACUUUCAACAACGGAUCUCUUGGUUCUG
RNAcentral lists this unclassified non-coding RNA (244 nucleotides) under plant metagenome. Its description in RNAcentral is "partial contains small subunit ribosomal RNA, internal transcribed spacer 1, and 5.8S ribosomal RNA". The record is from RNAcentral.